UGUACCAUUUUGCUUCUUCUCCAUCUCUCAUGUGUGAUUCCUUACAGACCCAGGUUGGUUCUUCUCCAAUGUCUCUUCUUGGAGUUAUACCUGGUUCUAUUGCC
This is a long non-coding RNA of Phyllostomus discolor (pale spear-nosed bat), 104 nucleotides long. RefSeq lists it as uncharacterized. The transcript is spliced from 3 exons. The record is from RefSeq and is a predicted model, not a curated record. Lineage: Eukaryota; Metazoa; Chordata; Mammalia; Chiroptera; Phyllostomidae.